UCCACCUGUUUCCGCACAUCCCUAAAAAAAUCCCUGCUGGCACACAAAGCCUAUUCUCCCUACGUUUUGGCCUUUAUCCUAAUAAAACAACCUAAGCGAGCUGCAUCGGCCGCCGUCCCAUUGCCCUCGCCGCCGCCGUCCCUUGUUCCUUCACCAAGCCCGCGUCCCUUGCCACUUUCUCCACGCUUCAAAGACGCACACUGCAUCUUUUCCAUCCUCCUCGCGUCGGGGACACACACAUGGCGUCGUCGCCAUCCUCCUCGCGUCUGGGAAGGUGCCGUCGCCGCCGCUCCUACGCGCGACCUGAGAUGCCGAGGCCGUUGUUCUCCUCCGCACAGCCAGGGACGACGCACGCACCGACGCCCCGUCCCCAACUGCAUUAGCUCAGCGUGACUCAGCUCCAAAGGAAAGGAGCAACUCCUCUCGACCUCUCCAAAAUCCCGAGUCCCUGCUAGUAUUAUUUGAGAUAUUUGCCGGUGUAGUGAUGUAAGUACUAAGUACUGCCUGCGUAAGGGGAAAAUAACUUGCAAGAUGGUGCAGGUAAUUUCCUUUGAUUCUUUCACAUAUCCCUAAAUUUCACUUACAAGUUACAAAAUUUUCUAUUAAUCUAAUUACUUAUUUCUACAGCUUUUAUUGUAUCCAGUAAAGAAUUCUUGUUAACACUGGUUAGCAUGACAUCAAUCUGAGUAAAUUGUAUCGAGUGAAGCAUUGUUAACAUGAGAACAAUCUGACUGCGUGAAAUUUCCAAUUCAUAUCCACAGUGCCUCAAAAGAAACUGUAUCUAGUGAAAAAUUGUUGUUAGGAUGAGUGCAUAACAACUUUCCUUCAGCCUGGCCUGCCCUGCUAUUUUUUUUGUAGGUCCGCCACAGAAACACACUAAGGCUCCGUUCGGCUGCUCAGUAUUUUUUGAGUUUUAGGAAAAUACCAUUGUUUUUGUAGAAACCCCAGUUUUAAAUACUUUGACGUGUUUGGUUUCGACAAAUACUUUAGUUUUACAAACCAUGGUAUAUCUAAAACUAUGUUUUUUUUGCUGUAUCUAAAAAAGAGGUCUCAACCUCUUUUUGUAAACUGAGAAACACUCGCUCGAGUACAUCUUCUUCGGGUCCUCCUCACCCAUCUCUUCCGCAGCCAUGCAAUUAAGAUUACCACCUGGGAAGCUUGACUACUCUGCCGUUGAUUUCUUCAAUUGUUUACUAUUGUUCGGCCUGUACAUUAGAUAGUACUAGAGGUACGGUCCUAUCAGAUGAUGCGUUUACACAUACAAAAGAUUUAGCGAAUGCUUAGACCCUGGAGUAGAUCGAUUGAUACUGAGCAAAGUUAUACAUAGUAGUCUAAGCUAGCUAGCCGUUCGAUUCGAUGUGGCCAGAGAUACAAGAUUACUCAACAACAUAUCCUAGCAUCUAGAGGAUGUUCGCGUGCAUGACAAGGCUAUAGGCACGCAGCGGCCAUUAAUUAGCACACGCUGAUCACGUCGUUGUAUAACUCCUUUGUUGUAGGUUCAACUAGCUAUAUUUAGGAUUAUCCAUGCAACGAGUGGUCAAAACCAAGAAACUAAGAAAAACUGCACUUGCCAAACAUCUCUAUAGUUUUUCUAAAACAGAGAAAAGCUGCGGUUUUUAGAACCGAAGUAUUCAUUGCCAACAUAUUGGAAUACCGAGGUUUUCAAUUACCAUGGUUUUGGAAAAACCGGGUUGCCAAACUAGGCCUAAAGUAUUUAAAACUAUAGUAUUUUUUAGAAACCACAGUAUUUUCCAAAUACUGAGAAAAUACUUCGCUGCCAAACGGGCCCACAGAUUUACUGUUUCACAUGCAUCACUAAAGGUUAACAGUUGACACAUAAGUUUCUCAGUGAAAUAAAUGCAGGAUUCUUCUACUCAAACAUUGAACAAGAAGAAAAGAUGGUUUCUGCUGAGGGACGUCAAGUUGAUGAACAUGUCAAGAAGAUCAUUGAAUUGAAAUAUAAGGUAUUUUGCUUAGUGUGUCCCCUGCUCUUUAUCUCUAUCUCUCUCGAAAAAGAUUGUGCUCGCUUGAUUCUAUGACGUGCAGGUUCGGUCAGGAAGUUACAAUAAUUUUGUGGUGAUCAACCAGAAAAGCAUUGGUCUUCCAUCCAUCGAUCUCCUAGAUAGAGUAGGGGUAACUAAUUCACUUACAUCUAAACUUGUGAUCUUUUUGGGGUUCCAGUUCAGUUUAGAAUGUCGGUCAUGAACUCAUGAUGGCACCAGCUGAACUUGGUACUCAAAAGUUUGACAUUAUACAUAAUGCUACCGUAUAAGCCAUGAACAACCAGUUAAGUUUAAGACAAACCCAUGUAGAAACCAGACUUUCUAUGGUGGCUCAGUCUGGCACACUCAUCUUUCCCUGCUGCUAAUAAAUUAUUAUUUUUAUGCCCUUUCUUGUUUAUAAUUAGAGCGCACUCUUUUCUAUACUAAUUAGACCCCGGCACCCCUUCAAGGUCAAGUCAGGGGCUCAGGUUGGCGUGAUGAUGACCAGAAGUGGAUUAGAUAGUUUGUAGUUCUCCUGCUUUCUAUGCAUGAGUUGAUAACUCCUACUGUCGCAAGUUUGAUGAUUUUUUUUCUCGUGUUGUUGCUUCUGUAGGUUCUGCAAAUUUUAUUCAUAGAUCAGGAAAUUCUAAUAUGUGACAUGGUAAAUCUCAGGUAAUUAGGAUCUCUUGUGUGAUGUAUAUUAUGCAAAGAUUUUUGAGUUGUCGGCACUGAGGUUUCUCCUAAUACAUCAUGACACGCAUGACUAAUAAAUAAUCCCAAGAACGAGUAGUACGGGAAUAAUGUGACACAAAGCUAAUUAAUGCAGAGACCUCUCGAAAAUGGAAAUAUUCAACUCAGUAUAUUCGGUAUUAUUAGUUACCAACUUGUCAUUUAGUUGGUUGGUGAAUUCAUUUCAUUGUUUAUAUAAUAUAUUUUUUGGAUCUUUAGUAGUAUAUGCAAGCUGAUGGUUGUUCAUAAUGAACAACCACAUCUCAAAGGUGCUUGCUGUAUUAAUAUGCAGUUUCUUAUCUCACGAGCCAUGGACAUUCAGAAUAUGUGCAAGGCAAUUAAGGUAAAUAGAAGGCCCUCAGUUUACAAAGAAUUGGUCAAGAGUGAAGACUCAAAGUCUGUGUUUGUACUCCAUAGCAUGGCGAUGGCCCUUUUGCUAGUGUGUAUUAUUGUUAUUUUUUACCGAGUGAUGAUACUGACAUUGCAAGUAUGUGAAGUUUCCACAUUUGAAUUUUGGUCUUUUUUAAGAGAAAAUAGACUGGAACACUAAAAACAUAUAAUGUUAGUUCAUAUAGUUUUGAGUUGAUACAAGAUGUUAUUUAAUAAAUUCAUGUUCAUGUUUUUGUAUUCAGAUUAUUAAUUAUCCCCUUAUCUAUAUAAUAAAUCUAUGUCAUGAUAAAUCACAUUUGUAAGGUGCUCCUUUAAAUCGCACUUCUCUAUUAACCUGAUUUCUAUAAUGUAAGUUGCUCAUCUAAUACUAUUAACAUUGUUGUUGUUGCUGUAGAUCAUGAAGACAAAUUGACAAUGCAUGGCUCACAUGUUGAUUGCAAGGUUAAGAAUGGGCUACUACAAGAUAAUUAGAAUGUCAUUUUUAGGACCAAAGUUUCAGACAUCAUAGUUGAUUGCAAGGUCAAGAAUUGGGUUACAGAUAGAUAGUUUCACCUCUUGUAAUCUUUGGAUCACGUUCCUUGUAAUGCAACGUAGUCAAUUUAAUACAUGAGAAGUUUAUGUUUGUUAUAUUUUGCCUGCAACUGUCAACAUUGCAAGGUCAUGAAUUGUGCUACUAA
This is an RNA transcript of Triticum dicoccoides, 3778 nucleotides long. It is a transcript of the gene named T-complex protein 1 subunit zeta 1-like, with no coding region annotated. The transcript is spliced from 3 exons. NCBI's taxonomy places the organism in Eukaryota, Viridiplantae, Streptophyta, Magnoliopsida, Poales, Poaceae. The record is from RefSeq and is a predicted model, not a curated record.